This 497-nucleotide ribosomal RNA is filed under the name uncultured bacterium. Its description in RNAcentral is "partial 16S ribosomal RNA". It matches the Rfam family "Bacterial small subunit ribosomal RNA", at positions 28 to 507 of the family's 1533-position model. The record is from RNAcentral.
GACGAACGCUGGCGGCGUGCCUAAUACAUGCAAGUAGAACGCUGAAGCGAGGAGCUUGCUCUUCUUGGAUGAGUUGCGAACGGGUGAGUAACGCGUAGGUAACCUGCCUUGUAGCGGGGGAUAACUAUUGGAAACGAUAGCUAAUACCGCAUAACAAUGGAUGACACAUGUCAUUUAUUUGAAAGGGGCAAUUGCUCCACUACAAGAUGGACCUGCGUUGUAUUAGCUAGUAGGUGAGGUAACGGCUCACCUAGGCGACGAUACAUAGCCGACCUGAGAGGGUGAUCGGCCACACUGGGACUGAGACACGGCCCAGACUCCUACGGGAGGCAGCAGUAGGGAAUCUUCGGCAAUGGGGGCAACCCUGACCGAGCAACGCCGCGGGAGGGAAGAAGGGUGUCGGAUCGUAAAGCUCUGUUGUAAGUCAAGAACGAGUGUGAGAGUGGAAAGUUCACACUGUGACGGUAGCUUAACAGAAAGGGACGGCUAACUACGUG